GGAAUGAUGCCCUUGACAGGAUUGAGUAUGUAAAGGGGCAGCUGACAUCAGUGUUUGGGCGUGUGCUCAAAGUGGUCUAGUCUCUUGUUUCCCAUCCUGGAGGAAGAACAGGAAAGCCGGUCUAGUCUCUUGUUUCCCAUCCCGGAGGAAGAACAGGAAAGCCGGUCUAGUCUCUUGUUUCCCAUCCCGGAGGAAGAACAGGAAAGCCGGUCUAGUCUCCCAGAGGAAGAACAGGAAAGCUGGUCUAGUCUCUUGUCAAGUGUGGACUGGAGGGGAUUCCAGGUUGGGACAAGGUGGACAGGCUGACGAAUCACCUUCUCAACUUCACAGAGAUGUCUCUCACCCCUGAUGAUGUAAUGAUGUGCAUCAUGUUGUAUGAUGACCUGGAUGAUUAUGAUAAACAAAGGACUCCUCGGCCAUACAUAGAACAACAGUCUGCCCUGUCUGGAAGAUUCAAAAAGGGGAAGUCCAAAUCCACUGUGUCUCCAGAUGUGGAGAGAACAAGAAGAAGUUUUCUGGGUGCAGGGGUACCUGCGGCUUCUCCUGCC
Lingula anatina is the source of this 548-nucleotide long non-coding RNA. The record is from RefSeq and is a predicted model, not a curated record. Lineage: Eukaryota; Metazoa; Brachiopoda; Lingulata; Lingulida; Lingulidae.